GCUCAAGCAUUGCAACCUCGACCUAGGUUAGGACCUCGUUGCUUGGAAAGCACACUUGUCUUGCGGUUAGGACUCGUCGAGUAAAUCUCCAGGUAGAGGCCGAGGUAGGGGCAAAGGCAAGCUGGCGAGCGACCAGAAGUGACCGUGGCGAGCCAUAGGGAUUUCUGCUUCCGCUUACCCCGU
This is a long non-coding RNA of Cucumis melo (muskmelon), 183 nucleotides long. RefSeq lists it as uncharacterized. NCBI's taxonomy places the organism in Eukaryota, Viridiplantae, Streptophyta, Magnoliopsida, Cucurbitales, Cucurbitaceae. The transcript has 3 exons. The record is from RefSeq and is a predicted model, not a curated record.